This 2108-nucleotide ribosomal RNA is filed under the name Vibrio fluvialis. RNAcentral's name for it is "partial 23S ribosomal RNA". It matches the Rfam family "Bacterial large subunit ribosomal RNA", at positions 1 to 2150 of the family's 2925-position model. The record is from RNAcentral. Lineage: Bacteria; Pseudomonadati; Pseudomonadota; Gammaproteobacteria; Vibrionales; Vibrionaceae.
GGUUAAGUGACUAAGCGUACACGGUGGAUGCCUUGGCAGUCAGAGGCGAUGAAGGACGUAGUAACUUGCGAUAAGCUCAGAUUAGGCAGUAACAGCCACUUGAGUCUGAGAUUUCCGAAUGGGGAAACCCAACUGCAUAAGCAGUUACUGUUAACUGAAUACAUAGGUUAACAGAGCGAACCGGGGGAACUGAAACAUCUAAGUACCCCGAGGAGAAGAAAUCAACCGAGAUUCCGAUAGUAGCGGCGAGCGAAAUUGGAUUAGCCCUUAAGCUUUACAUGCGUCAGGUGAAGGUUCUGGAAAGGACCGCGAAACAGGGUGAUAGCCCCGUAGCCGACAGCGCAUGUUCAGUGAAAUCGAGUAGGGCGGGACACGUGUUAUCCUGUCUGAAUAUGGGGGGACCAUCCUCCAAGGCUAAAUACUCCUGACUGACCGAUAGUGAACCAGUACCGUGAGGGAAAGGCGAAAAGAACCCCUGUGAGGGGAGUGAAAUAGAACCUGAAACCGUGUACGUACAAGCAGUAGGAGCCUCUUCGUGGGGUGACUGCGUACCUUUUGUAUAAUGGGUCAGCGACUUAUAUUCAGUGGCAAGGUUAACCAUUUAGGGGAGCCGUAGGGAAACCGAGUCUUAACUGGGCGUUCAGUCUCUGGAUAUAGACCCGAAACCGGGUGAUCUAGCCAUGGGCAGGUUGAAGGUUGAGUAACAUCAACUGGAGGACCGAACCGACUAAUGUUGAAAAAUUAGCGGAUGACUUGUGGCUAGGGGUGAAAGGCCAAUCAAACUCGGAGAUAGCUGGUUCUCCCCGAAAGCUAUUUAGGUAGCGCCUCGGACGAAUACUACUGGGGGUAGAGCACUGUUAAGGCUAGGGGGUCAUCCCGACUUACCAACCCUUUGCAAACUCCGAAUACCAGUAAGUACUAUCCGGGAGACACACGGCGGGUGCUAACGUCCGUCGUGGAGAGGGAAACAACCCAGACCGCCAGCUAAGGUCCCAAAUUACAGCUAAGUGGGAAACGAUGUGGGAAGGCUCAGACAGCUAGGAUGUUGGCUUAGAAGCAGCCAUCAUUUAAAGAAAGCGUAAUAGCUCACUAGUCGAGUCGGCCUGCGCGGAAGAUGUAACGGGGCUAAGCUGUAAACCGAAGCUGCGGCAAUGCGAUUUAUCGUAUUGGGUAGGGGAGCGUUCUGUAAGCCGUUGAAGGUGUGUUGUAAAGCAUGCUGGAGGUAUCAGAAGUGCGAAUGCUGACAUGAGUAACGACAAGGGGGGUGAAAAACCUCCCCGCCGGAAGACCAAGGGUUCCUGUCCAACGUUAAUCGGGGCAGGGUAAGUCGACCCCUAAGGCGAGGCCGAAAGGCGUAGUCGAUGGGAAACGGGUUAAUAUUCCCGUACUUCUUACAAUUGCGAUGGGGGGACGGAGAAGGCUAGGUGGGCCUGGCGACGGUUGUCCAGGUUCAAGUGCGUAGGCUUGAGGGUUAGGUAAAUCCGGCUCUCUUUAAGGCUGAGACACGACGUCGAGCUACUACGGUAGUGAAGUCAUUGAUGCCAUGCUUCCAGGAAAAGCCUCUAAGCUUCAGAUUGUAAGGAAUCGUACCCCAAACCGACACAGGUGGUCGGGUAGAGAAUACCAAGGCGCUUGAGAGAACUCGGGUGAAGGAACUAGGCAAAAUGGUACCGUAACUUCGGGAGAAGGUACGCUCUUGAUGGUGAAGUCCCUCGCGGAUGGAGCUGAUGAGAGUCGCAGAUACCAGGUGGCUGCAACUGUUUAUUAAAAACACAGCACUGUGCAAAAUCGUAAGAUGACGUAUACGGUGUGACGCCUGCCCGGUGCCGGAAGGUUAAUUGAUGGGGUUAGCGUAAGCGAAGCUCUUGAUCGAAGCCCCGGUAAACGGCGGCCGUAACUAUAACGGUCCUAAGGUAGCGAAAUUCCUUGUCGGGUAAGUUCCGACCUGCACGAAUGGCGUAAUGAUGGCCACGCUGUCUCCACCCGAGACUCAGUGAAAUUGAAAUCGCUGUGAAGAUGCAGUGUACCCGCGGCUAGACGGAAAGACCCCGUGAACCUUUACUACAGCUUGGCACUGAACAUUGAACCUACAUGUGUAGGAUAGGUGG